RNAcentral lists this ribosomal RNA (274 nucleotides) under uncultured bacterium. Its description in RNAcentral is "partial 16S ribosomal RNA". It matches the Rfam family "Bacterial small subunit ribosomal RNA", at positions 523 to 796 of the family's 1533-position model. The record is from RNAcentral.
AUACGGAGGGUGCAAGCGUUGUUCGGAAUUACUGGGCGUAAAGGGUGCGUAGGCUGCACUAUAAGCAAAGGGUGAAAUCCCGGGGCUCAACCUCGGAACCGCUUUUUGAACUGUAGUGCUUGAGACAGACAGAGGCAGGUAGAAUUCCUGGUGUAGAGGUGAAAUUCGUAGAUAUCAGGAGGAAUACCGGUGGCGAAGGCGGCCUGCUGGGUCUGUUCUGACGCUAAGGCACGAAAGCGUGGGUAGCAAACGGGAUUAGAAACCCCGGUAGUCC